CCAAAAUUUACGUGGCGGGUGUAAUCACUCUAGAGCUUCCUCUCCUGCAAGUGCGCAGAAGUUUCAUUCAUCUUCAAUCCAAUCUUAAAGUGCGUAUGAAAGUCGAUUCCAUUUUGAGGCCAAAAUGCUCGCAAAUUAUGCUCUUCGAUCAUCUUAUGGUAUGAACUUCUUUAUUAAAAAUUGUUCAUGACAGGGCUUCAUUAUUUUCCAGAGAUGAACAGCAUUGGAUUCAUGUUAACGACUAACGAGCUUUAAAGUGCGUAUGAAAGUCGAUUCCAUUUUGAGGCCAAAAUGUUCGCAAAUUAUGCUCUUCGAUCAUCUUAUGAAAAUGAUGAGUUGUGUAUCAAACGAAGCAUCACUUGAAAAUUUCGGUACCUCGGCGUAACAAAACGGUAUAUGCUCUUACCAUUUUUGGUGCCUUUUCCAAAGAAAUUCUUGCC
This is a non-coding RNA of Cucurbita pepo subsp. pepo (vegetable marrow), 440 nucleotides long. Lineage: Eukaryota; Viridiplantae; Streptophyta; Magnoliopsida; Cucurbitales; Cucurbitaceae. The record is from RefSeq and is a predicted model, not a curated record.